AACGAACGCUGGCGGCAUGCCUAACACAUGCAAGUCGAACGAGACCUUCGGGUCUAGUGGCGCACGGGUGCGUAACGCGUGGGAACCUGCCCUUAGGUUCGGAAUAACUCCCCGAAAUGGGUGCUAAUACCGGAUAAUGUCUUCGGACCAAAGAUUUAUCGCCUUUGGAUGGGCCCGCGUUGGAUUAGCUAGUUGGUAGGGUAAAAGCCUACCAAGGCGACGAUCCAUAGCUGGUCUGAGAGGAUGAUCAGCCACACUCGGACUGAGACACGGCCCAGACUCCUACGGGAGGCAGCAGUGGGGAAUAUUGGACAAUGGGCGAAAGCCUGAUCCAGCAAUGCCGCGUGAGUGAUGAAGGCCUGAGGGUUGUAAAGCUCUUUUACCCGGGAUGAUAAUGACAGUACCGGGAGAAUAAGCACCGGCUAACUCCGUG
Molecule: ribosomal RNA, 433 nt
Filed under: uncultured bacterium
Lineage: Bacteria
Description: partial 16S ribosomal RNA
Rfam family: Bacterial small subunit ribosomal RNA
Source: RNAcentral